RNAcentral lists this transfer RNA (78 nucleotides) under Pyropia yezoensis (susabi-nori). RNAcentral describes it as "Neopyropia yezoensis (susabi-nori) tRNA-Tyr". Lineage: Eukaryota; Rhodophyta; Bangiophyceae; Bangiales; Bangiaceae. The record is from RNAcentral.
ACAAAAAUAGUGAAAAUCUAUUACUACGGUAUUAUAUUACGUUAAAUGCCUUGCUGUCUACAGGAAAAAACUUUUUUC